AUCUAGUGACCUCAAGACAGAGACAGAAACCCCUGCUUCCAGGACAUGAGUAUCAGAAGCCUGACCUCUACCUUUCUCCUAGAUCCUGGGCAAGGGUGUUCUGGCCACAUCACUAUGUGAUGGACCUCCUAUGGACCUGUCUGAACAAUUGUUCACAAAUAUUGAGGACUAAGAAAAAUGGAUGAAUUAUAUACUAUAUGCCCGUCCUUCUGUCCUCUGAUGAAGAUAAAAAGAAUUGAUGGAGCCUGAGAUGCCAGCCAUAGGCACUCACAUCCUGGUUUCUCUUUGCUAUCACGUGGAAUCUGAAAAGACUGGCAUAGAUGAUAUUAUUUACAAAGCAGAAGAGAGACACAGAUGUAGAGA
This is a long non-coding RNA of Odocoileus virginianus texanus, 363 nucleotides long. RefSeq lists it as uncharacterized. NCBI's taxonomy places the organism in Eukaryota, Metazoa, Chordata, Mammalia, Artiodactyla, Cervidae. The record is from RefSeq and is a predicted model, not a curated record.